This 386-nucleotide ribosomal RNA is filed under the name uncultured beta proteobacterium. Its description in RNAcentral is "bacterial SSU rRNA". It matches the Rfam family "Bacterial small subunit ribosomal RNA", at positions 34 to 420 of the family's 1533-position model. The record is from RNAcentral. Lineage: Bacteria; Pseudomonadati; Pseudomonadota; Betaproteobacteria.
CGCUGGCGGCAUGCCUUACACAUGCAAGUCGAACGGCAGCAUAGGAGCUUGCUCCUGAUGGCGAGUGGCGAACGGGUGAGUAAUAUAUCGGAACGUGCCCUAGAGUGGGGGAUAACUAGUCGAAAGACUAGCUAAUACCGCAUACGAUCUACGGAUGAAAGUGGGGGAUCGCAAGACCUCAUGCUCCUGGAGCGGCCGAUAUCUGAUUAGCUAGUUGGUGGGGUAAAAGCCUACCAAGGCAACGAUCAGUAGCUGGUCUGAGAGGACGACCAGCCACACUGGGACUGAGACACGGCCCAGACUCCUACGGGAGGCAGCAGUGGGGAAUUUUGGACAAUGGGGGCAACCCUGAUCCAGCAAUGCCGCGUGAGUGAAGAAGGCCUUCG